Molecule: ribosomal RNA, 233 nt
Filed under: uncultured bacterium
Lineage: Bacteria
Description: partial 16S ribosomal RNA
Rfam family: Bacterial small subunit ribosomal RNA
Source: RNAcentral
ACGGGUGAGUAACACGUAUCCAACCUGCCGUCUACUCUUGGCCAGCCUUCUGAAAGGAAGAUUAAUCCAGGAUGGCAUCAUGAGUUCACAUGUCCGCAUGAUUAAAGGUAUUUCCGGUAGACGAUGGGGAUGCGUUCCAUUAGAUAGUAGGCGGGGUAACGGCCCACCUAGUCUUCGAUGGAUAGGGGUUCUGAGAGGAAGGUCCCCCACAUUGGAACUGAGACACGGUCCAA